RNAcentral lists this ribosomal RNA (432 nucleotides) under uncultured bacterium. Its description in RNAcentral is "partial 16S ribosomal RNA". It matches the Rfam family "Bacterial small subunit ribosomal RNA", at positions 355 to 774 of the family's 1533-position model. The record is from RNAcentral.
UGGGGAAUUUUGGGACAAUGGGGGAAACCCCUGAUCCAGCCAUCCCGCGUGUGCGAUGAAGGCCUUCGGGUUGUAAAGCACUUUUGGCAGGAAAGAAACGUCGCGGGUUAAUACCCCGCGAAACUGACGGUACCUGCAGAAUAAGCACCGGCUAACUACGUGCCAGCAGCCGCGGUAAUACGUAGGGUGCAAGCGUUAAUCGGAAUUACUGGGCGUAAAGCGUGCGCAGGCGGUUCGGAAACGAAAGAUGUGAAAUCCCAGAGCUUAACUUUGGAACUGCAUUUUUGAACUACCGGGCUAGAGUGUGUCAGAGGGAGGUGGAAUUCCGCGUGUAGCAGUGAAAUGCGUAGAUAUGCGGAGGAACACCGAUGGCGAAGGCAGCCUCCUGGGAUAACACUGACGCUCAUGCACGAAAGGCGUGGGGAGCAAAGC